This is a non-coding RNA of Prunus mume (Japanese apricot), 2472 nucleotides long. The record is from RefSeq and is a predicted model, not a curated record. Lineage: Eukaryota; Viridiplantae; Streptophyta; Magnoliopsida; Rosales; Rosaceae.
UAAGCCCUAGCGCGAGCCCGAGACACAAACAGAGAGUGCAACACCACCAUUAAUCUCCAACUGUCAGCGCUCUCAAUUUCAAGCUCGGACUUCAAACGCAUAUUCAGCUCUUCUUUGUCUACGUCUGCAAUUCAACUGGUUCUUCUUGCCCGUCGUUCUCGUUCUUAUUCUUCUUCUUGUUUCUACUCGUAGCUCACUGGAGAUAUCAGAAGCAUUAAGGUCUAUCUGUGAGGUUGUUUUUUGCUGCGUUGUUUGAUUAGAAGAAAGGUUUAAUGGAUUUCGACGAGUAUGAGUAUUUAGAGAAAACGGUUGAAAAUCCGGAACCCCAGAAAGCAAAGGAAACUGCAAAUGGUGGUGAGGAAACUCUGAAAUCUGGAGAGAAAGGUCGCAGUCGAAGUUCAAAACAUAAGAGUGAUGAGAAAGGUCAUGAUGAGGAACGUCACUCAAAGCGUUCAAAAUCUGGAGAUGACUCACGUGAACAUGAUCAUGAUCGGCACAGAGAGAGGGGAUCUUCUCGUCAUCGCUCACGGUCAAGAGAAGUAGAAAAGGAUCGCCACAGGAGUAGCCGGGAACACAGAGGUAGGGAGGAGAGGGAAAGGGAGGAAAGAAAUGGAAGGGAGAGAGACAGGGACAGAGACAAAGAGCGGGAUCCCGAUCGAGCUAGAGACAGGAGAGAACGUGACCGUGAGGGUGACAAGGAGGACAAGGACCGGGAGAAGGAGAAAGAGCGAUCACGCCGAAGUAGGAGUCAUUCAGAAAGGCAUCGAAGUGAUCGGGAUGAAAGAGAGAGGAGCCGGGAUGUGGAGCAUAAAGAAAGAGAUAAGGAGAAGGAUUUAAGGGAGCGGGAAAAAGAAAGCAGAAGACAUAAAGACAAGAAGGAAGAAGUGACAGAACCAGAGGCUGAUCCUGAAAGAGAUCAGAGGACGGUAUUUGCUUAUCAGAUUUGUCUGAAGGCAGAUGAAAGAGAUGUAUACGAGUUCUUCUCAAGGGCUGGCAAGGUCCGCGAUGUACGCCUCAUUAUGGAUCGCAAUUCAAGACGUUCUAAGGGAGUUGGGUAUAUUGAGUUUUAUGAUGCAAUGUCGGUAUGGCGAUUGCACUUUCUGGUCAGCCUCUUCUUGGUCAACCAGUGAUGGUGAAGCCAUCAGAGGCUGAGAAGAAUCUGGUUCAAUCAACAUCUGUGGUUAGCGGACCAGGUGGGAUGAUAGGCCCAUAUUCUGGCGGAGCUAGAAGGCUGUUGAGUACUUUUCUGACACAGUUCUAAUGUUGGCAUCAGAUACGAUCUCCGCCAGGUUUUUGGAGCAUUUGGUCCUGUAGAACUGGUUCAGUUACCUGUUGACGAAACUAACAACUGCAAAGGUUUUGGAUUUGUGCAGUUCUCACGUCUUGAAGAUGCUAGAAAUGCACUGAGUUUGAAUGGACAAUUGGAGAUUGCAGGUCGACUUAUUAAGGUGUCAGCUGUUACAGACCAAGCUGGAAUGCAAGAUCUUGGAGCAAAUGCCGGUGAUUUUGAUGACGAUGAAGGUGGUGGCUUGUCAUUGAAUGCACGCUCUCGGGCAAUUCUCAUGCAGAAAUUGGAUCGCAGUGGCUCUGGAUCAGGUAUUGCUGGUCCCCUAGGCACUCCUGCUGUCAAUAGCCCUGGUGUUUCUCUACCAAUGGCACUACCAACGGCACCACUCCUGGGAGCUGCACCAGUGGUUUCUCCUCUUGUUCCACCCAUCACCGCUGUUCCUGGUAUUGCUGGACUUGGUGUUGCUGGUCUUCAAAUUCCUACUGCUACUCUUCCUUCUAUAGAUACAAUUGGUGUUCCAAGCGAAUGUUUACUGUUGAAAAAUAUGUUUGAUCCGGCAGUUGAGACGGAACCAAACUUUGACUUGGACAUUAAAGAAGAUGUUCAGGAGGAGUGUUCAAAAUACGGGAAUUUGAGGCAUAUCUUUGUAGACAAGAAUACCGCUGGUCAUGUGUACUUACGAUUCGAGAACACACAAGCUGCGAUAAAUGCUCGGCAUGUUCUCCAUGGAAGAUGGUUUGCCGGAAAGAUGAUUGAGGCAACGUUCAUGUUGCCCCAGAACUAUGAGGCUAAAUUCCCGGAAAGCAGAUAGGAUUAUUAUAUGCAGUAUUGGAAAUGUAGAAAACGUAGCUGGUAAUGCCUGUUGGUGGUUAGCCUUUUGGGUCCAAUUUUCAUGUGAGAGAGUAUUUAAUGAAUUAUCCUCAGGGCUUUUUGUGUGAGAAGAAAGAAUGUCACGCUCAGUUCAGCAUUUGGAAUUUGUUGAUGGGUCAAAAGUUAGAUGUACAUCAACUUGAAAUUUUUACCGCCAGGGUGCCAUGUGAAUUUACAGUUACAGAUAUGGGUUUGUAGACUUAUUGAUGUUCUCAUUUGUCAACAACUUUCAAUGUUAUAAUAUUUGUCUGCACUAAACUGCCUCAUAGAAGGAUUUCAUAUAUUUGCAAGAUUCAUCUCGCCUGAACUACAAA